RNAcentral lists this transfer RNA (77 nucleotides) under Bacilli bacterium. Its description in RNAcentral is "tRNA-Glu". It matches the Rfam family "tRNA". Rfam says of the family: Transfer RNA (tRNA) molecules are approximately 80 nucleotides in length. Their secondary structure includes four short double-helical elements and three loops (D, anti-codon, and T loops). The record is from RNAcentral. Lineage: Bacteria; Bacillati; Bacillota; Bacilli.
GGUCCUAUGGAGAAGCGGCUUAACUCAUCGCCCUCUCAAGGCGACAUUCACGGGUUCGAAUCCCGUUAGGAUCACCA